RNAcentral lists this long non-coding RNA (4196 nucleotides) under Homo sapiens (human). RNAcentral's name for it is "non-protein coding lnc-CCKAR-10:1". The record is from RNAcentral. Lineage: Eukaryota; Metazoa; Chordata; Mammalia; Primates; Hominidae.
CCCUCGCCGCCGCCGCGAAGAGCCAGACGCCUCGCGCCGCCCGCAGAGUAGGGGAUCCUGCUCGCUGCCUUCCCUGGAAACCUACCCAGGCGAUGGAGCAUGCGCAGGCGGCUCCUCCGCGGGCGAGCCCUCCGUGUGGUCCAUGGGGAGCGCUCCGGUUAUCCGGGUUUUAGGACGCGCUUUGAGGGACGUACGUGGAGACUGAGGAAAACCGGAGGGGAUUACUACGGGGACGAGGAAUGGAGGGGUCAGGAGGCGGGGCCGAGGAGAAGGGAGGAGGGGUCCUGGGAAAAUGGGCUGCGUUUCACAGGCCUAGAUGAAACACCUCCUCAAUGGGUGUUUUCCAAGCGGCUUCCCGCUCACUCUGGGUUCCCAGCUAUUUUCAUUCAUUCAAACGUUCCCUGGGCGCCUCCUUUAUGCUAAUCUCGGCGUUUGGUGCAGGAGCGCCAGAGAUGUCUGGGGUUCGGGCAAGUGACACGUCGGGGACUGUCUUCAUUCAUUACACCCCCCCAUGCUAAUGAGGAGGCCCUUCCAGAGCUCCUCAAGCGGAAAACUUUUGCAGUUGAGCUCUCUCGCCUUAGCGUUCUCCUUGGGUGUGAAAUGAGGUCAAGCCAAGGCCUCUAGCAAAGACACCCCUAAUGGCCACCUCGCAGACACACGCCAGAGCGCGGAGUAGUUCUCUCCAGAAGGGAAAACUGCCUUGGAAUUGAGAGCCACAUUCUCCCACCUCCGAGUCUGCCCAGAGGACCCGAUCAAAGCUCUUGCCGCUCGCGUGCUGCAUGGCCUCUCUAAGACCCCAUCGCAGCCACCACCGUGUGUGAGCCCAGGUGUGUGUUGAGACCACUACUGCACAGGGAACCGGGCCACCCGAGGGCCUGGCACAGCCGAGGACGCUGCCGGCUGCCCGAAUCGCGCUUCAGGCGGCCUGAUCCCGGAAGCCCCCGGGCAAACCUGGCCCCACCGGGCAUGGAACAGCAGGGUGAAGGGCCCGAAUCCCGCCCCCUCCUCCUACCUGCAGCCCCCCAUCUUUCCCCUCCUUUGCUCUUUCCUUUCCUAGAGAUUCCCAGAUCCAGCACUGCCUCCCGCAGGGAGCCCCAAAACCCGGAGAACUGGAAUUCGCCGCCCGAAACCUGUUGAAGGCGCUGCAGGAUUGGCGCGGCCCGCGCGAGCGGCACUGCGCAUGUACCCAAUGCGGGCAGUCCAGUCUCACGCUACACCUCCUUCCCACCGCCUUCCACUACUCGGCUCAGACACAACACGGCCGUGGGAAAUUUCCUAAACCUCGCGAGAACGUGCCCCUGUUGCCUAAGCUUUCGCCCCAAAUCUCGCGGAGCCAAGGCAGGACAGGUGUUUGCCUAGACCAGCUCCGGGCGCCGUUCGUGCAGCGCGUGCCCGGGAGGCGGGCGGCGGGCGGCGGGCGCGGGCGGGGUGGGAAGGGAGCGGCUUGCCGCGGAGGCGGGGCGGGAAGGCGCGUGGCUGGGAGCACGGGGCGGAGGGCGGCGGGGGAGGAGACCCGCGUCUCGCACACAACACGCACACGCCCUGUGACGCUGGAUGGAAGACGAGGGGUGGGGAGCCUCGAACGGAGGAAGGGGAAGCCAGGAGGUUGGAAGUCGCUGCCGGUACGGAGAGUGAGAGGUCAGGCUCUAGGGCAGGAGGAGCCCCAGGCCGAUCUCCCGGGGAGGUUUCCUGUCGCCCUCCACAAGCCUGGUACUUUCCUAAAACGUGUUAGACACCGCGCCCCCCGCCUCCGGGAGCUGACAGACAGCCUCCAGAGUCGGGUUUGAGUCAUGCCUUGAGUCACCUAGUCUGGCCACUACUUCGCUUACUUUGAAACAAGUUCUGAUUCCUUAGCUACUCUACUUUAGCAAUUGGUUUCUUUUUUUUUUUUUUUUUUUUUUUUUGAGACGGAGUCUUGCUCUGUCGCCUAGGCUAGAGUGCAGUGGCGCGAUCUCGGCUCACUGCAAGCUCCGCCUCCUGGAUUCACGCCAUUCUCCUGCCGCAGCCUCCUGAGUAGCUGGAACUACAGGCGCCCGCCACCACGCCCGGCUAAUUUUUUCUAUUUUUUAGUAGACGGAGUUUUACCAUGUUAGUCAGGAUGGUCUCGAUCUCCUGACCUCGUGAUCCGCCCGCCUCGGCCUCCCAAAGUGCUGGGAUUACACGUGUGAGCCACCGCGCCUGGCAGCAAUUGGUUGUUUUCUUUCUAAUCUACCCGCUGGCCCUGUGAGCUGGGUAGAAAAAUAAAUAAAUAAAUAAAUAAACAGCUCUGCGCUCUCGCCUUGUUGCCUUGUAUAGAUUCUUGCUCCCGUUUAAGGACACGAUUUUUAAAAUUUCUUGUCAGUCUCUUCUUAGCCUUUUGAAGUAAUCUUACAAAUCAGUUUCUGUUUUUUCCUCCCACUAAUAUGGCUUUUUUGCUUUCCGUCACCUUUCCGUAUUUUUAUUGCAAUAUUCCAUUUUACGUAUGGCUGCGGCAGGUGCUAUAGUGACUACUGUUUUAAAUGCAGCCCUUCCUUUUGGAUCAUUCAUCCAAUGAGUUCCUGAUUACGUAAAUUCUUCAAUCAGCCACGUUUCAGAUUGGCCCUGAUGUGGUUUCUAUACCAGCCUUAGCCUGGCAUUAUCUAGGAACCAGUGUCUUCCUGCUCACGUCACAGCCCCGCAAAUGUAGAGUUGAAUUGAAUUUUGAUAUUUGGAGGACAGUGAGUUCUCUAAUAGGAAACCCUGGUUUUUAAGUUGUUUUCAAGGUUUUAGGGGUGUGUGUGUGUGUGUGUGUGCGUGUGUGUGUGUUUGUGUUUGCCUAUUGAUUAUAUACACAAAAAAACAGACUUAAAACCAUUUGGUGCAAUAUCUCAGUGCAAGUCUGGCUUGGAACAGGAUAGCUCAGGAGGAGGACAAAGCCCUUGGGGCACAUAUUCCUUGGAGCUGUCAUCCCAAGAAGGUAUUUCAGUCAUGGCCUAGUCCAGACCACUGAUCUAAUUUGGAAUCAUGGCCUUCUGAGAGCCCCAGCGACCUUGGGAAGCCAUGGUAACCACAAAGGGAAUAACAGCUCCCCCUUUUUGCCCUAAAACAUGCUCCAUCUGCAGCCCUCCCCCAUCUCAGGAAAGGACAACUCCAUUCUUCCACUUAUGUCAAGAACCUUGGAGUCCUUGCCUCCUUUCUCACACCCAAGAUACAAUUGGACGGAAAAUCCUAUUGGCUCCACCUUCAGAAUAUACUCACAUUCCAAAUACUGUCACACCUCUUUAGCUACUAGCCUAGUCUAACCCAUCUUAUUUCCCACCUGGUUUAAGGAAGUUCCCUAACUGGUCCUCCCUUCUUCCGUUCUUGUCUUCCCGCAGUCUGUGCUAAUAGAGCAUUCUCAGUGGCCCUCUAGAACUCCUCCAUGACUUUCCCAUUUCACUAUGAGGACUUAGACAAUCUUGCCUACUGCCAAACCCCCCCUGAUCUAUCUGCCUUCACCUCCUCCUCUACCUCUCACUCUGUGGGCUCUCACCAGUUGCCUUCCUUACUGUUCCUGGGAUGCCCCAAGCACACUUUCAGCUCCAAGCCUUUGCUUUUUCCACUACCUGGAAUGCUCUUCCCUCAUAUACCUUAUAGCUCAUUCCCUCACUCCUUUCUUGUCUUUGCCUGAUGUCACCUCCUCAGGGAGGCCUUCCCUGACACCCUUCCCAAGAGGGACUCCCAUACUCCUUAUCCCCCUUUCUGCUUGAUUUUGUCCAUGGCACCUAUCAUUAACUAACAUAACAUUUAUCAUACUUGUGUGUUGUGUUUACUAUCUGCCUCCUUCCAUUAUAAUGUAAUAUUAAUAAGGGCAAGGACUUUUGUCUAGUUUGUUCAUUAUUCAAGCCUUAGCUGCUGGAACAAUGCCUGCUGUAUUAUAUUUGUAGAAUGAAUGGGGUGUCUUCCACUUUAGGGCAGAGUAAAAAUGAUUCUGAAGACUAAGCCUCCUAGGGUUCAAAACAAUAUUAGGACUAGACUAGCAGUGAGUACUAGCCUGCCUAGGGAGGAGAAAAAGGCAUAUGGAGCAACCACCUGUGUUGGUUUUUUGCAAAAAAAAAAAAAAAAAAAAAAAAAAAGUCGUCUGGGUUAGACCAGUAGAUGAGGCUGCACUUAAGAGUUUCCUUUACUCUCCAUUUUAGAACUUCAGGAAAAAAACAACAAAAACACCACUAGCCGGAUAUGUGUGUGUGUGUAUAUAU